RNAcentral lists this ribosomal RNA (440 nucleotides) under uncultured bacterium. RNAcentral's name for it is "partial 16S ribosomal RNA". It matches the Rfam family "Bacterial small subunit ribosomal RNA", at positions 338 to 795 of the family's 1533-position model. The record is from RNAcentral.
CCUACGGGAGGCAGCAGUGGGGAAUAUUGCACAAUGGGGGAAACCCUGAUGCAGCGACGCCGCGUGAGUGAAGAAGUAUUUCGGUAUGUAAAGCUCUAUCAGCAGGGAAGAUAAUGACGGUACCUGAGUAAGAAGCACCGGCUAACUACGUGCCAGCAGCCGCGGUAAUACGUAGGGGGCAAGCGUUAUCCGGAUUUACUGGGGGUAAAGGGCGCGUAGGCGGGAUGGGAAGUCUGAAGGGAAAGCCCCGGGCUCAACCCCGGUACUGCUUUGGAAACUGUUAUUCUGGAGUGCAGGAGAGGUAAGUGGAAUUCCUGGUGUAGCGGUGAAAUGCGUAGAUAUUAGGAGGAACACCAGUGGCGAAGGCGGCUUACUGGACUGUAACUGACGUUGAGGCUCGAAAGCGUGGGGAGCAAACAGGAUUAGAUACCCGGGUAGUC